RNAcentral lists this ribosomal RNA (478 nucleotides) under uncultured bacterium. Its description in RNAcentral is "partial 16S ribosomal RNA". It matches the Rfam family "Bacterial small subunit ribosomal RNA", at positions 28 to 523 of the family's 1533-position model. The record is from RNAcentral.
GACGAACGCUGGCGGCGUGCUUAACACAUGCAAGUCGAACGGUAAGGCCCUUCGGGGUACACGAGUGGCGAACGGGUGAGUAACACGUGGGUGAUCUGCCCUGCACUUCGGGAUAAGCCUGGGAAACUGGGUCUAAUACCGGAUAGGACCACUGCCUGCAUGGGUGGUGGUGGAAAGCUUUUGCGGUGUGGGAUGGGCCCGCGGCCUAUCAGCUUGUUGGUGGGGUGAUGGCCUACCAAGGCGACGACUGGUAGCCGGCCUGCGAGGGUGACCGGCCAAACUGGGACUGAGAUACGGCCCAGAAUCCUACGGGGGGCAGCAGUGGUGAAUAUUGCACAAUGGGCGCAAGCCUGAUGCAGCGACGCCGCGUGAGGGAUGACGGCCUUCGGGUUGUAAACCUCUUUCAGCACCGACGAAGCGCAAGUGACGGUAGGUGCAGAAGAAGGACCGGCCAACUACGUGCCAGCAGCCGCGGUAA